RNAcentral lists this unclassified non-coding RNA (337 nucleotides) under soil metagenome. Its description in RNAcentral is "partial contains 5.8S ribosomal RNA, internal transcribed spacer 2, and large subunit ribosomal RNA". The stretch from base 1 to 120 matches the Rfam family "5.8S ribosomal RNA", at positions 35 to 154 of the family's 154-position model. The record is from RNAcentral.
GAUGAAGAACGUAGUGAAAUGCGAUAAGUAGUGUGAAUUGCAGAAUUCAGUGAAUCAUCGAAUCUUUGAACGCACAUUGCGCCCUUUGGUAUUCCUUAGGGCAUGCCUGUUCGAGCGUCAUCUAAACCUUCAAGCACUGCUUGGUGUUGGGUGCCUGUCCCGCCCCCGCGCGUGGACUCACCUCAAAUCCAUUGGCGGCCCUCACGUCGGCUACGAGCGCAGCAGAAACGCGAACUUGUGGACCCGGCGGAGUGGCUACCAGAAGCUACAUUCACCAUUUUGACCUCGGAUCAGGUAGGGAUACCCGCUGAACUUAAGCAUAUCAAUAAGCGGAGGA